RNAcentral lists this ribosomal RNA (505 nucleotides) under Microbacterium paraoxydans. Its description in RNAcentral is "bacterial SSU rRNA". It matches the Rfam family "Bacterial small subunit ribosomal RNA", at positions 77 to 594 of the family's 1533-position model. The record is from RNAcentral. Lineage: Bacteria; Bacillati; Actinomycetota; Actinomycetes; Micrococcales; Microbacteriaceae.
AGCUUGCUCUUGUGGAUCAGUGGCGAACGGGUGAGUAACACGUGAGCAACCUGCCCCUGACUCUGGGAUAAGCGCUGGAAACGGCGUCUAAUACUGGAUAUGUGACGUGACCGCAUGGUCUGCGUUUGGAAAGAUUUUUCGGUUGGGGAUGGGCUCGCGGCCUAUCAGCUUGUUGGUGAGGUAAUGGCUCACCAAGGCGUCGACGGGUAGCCGGCCUGAGAGGGUGACCGGCCACACUGGGACUGAGACACGGCCCAGACUCCUACGGGAGGCAGCAGUGGGGAAUAUUGCACAAUGGGCGAAAGCCUGAUGCAGCAACGCCGCGUGAGGGAUGACGGCCUUCGGGUUGUAAACCUCUUUUAGCAGGGAAGAAGCGAAAGUGACGGUACCUGCAGAAAAAGCGCCGGCUAACUACGUGCCAGCAGCCGCGGUAAUACGUAGGGCGCAAGCGUUAUCCGGAAUUAUUGGGCGUAAAGAGCUCGUAGGCGGUUUGUCGCGUCUGCUG